RNAcentral lists this transfer RNA (74 nucleotides) under Methanobrevibacter ruminantium M1. RNAcentral's name for it is "tRNA-Ile (GAT) (tRNA-Ile-GAT-2-1)". It matches the Rfam family "tRNA". Rfam says of the family: Transfer RNA (tRNA) molecules are approximately 80 nucleotides in length. Their secondary structure includes four short double-helical elements and three loops (D, anti-codon, and T loops). The record is from Rfam by way of RNAcentral. Lineage: Archaea; Methanobacteriati; Methanobacteriota; Methanobacteria; Methanobacteriales; Methanobacteriaceae.
UGGUCUGUGGCCAAGCAUGGUAAGGCGCUUGUCUGAUAUGCAAGUGAUCGAGGGUUCAAAUCCCUUCAGACCAA